RNAcentral lists this transfer RNA (77 nucleotides) under Felis catus (domestic cat). It matches the Rfam family "tRNA". Rfam says of the family: Transfer RNA (tRNA) molecules are approximately 80 nucleotides in length. Lineage: Eukaryota; Metazoa; Chordata; Mammalia; Carnivora; Felidae. RNAcentral also lists the same sequence under 4 other names. The record is from Rfam by way of RNAcentral.
GCUUGGGUGGCUCAGUUGGUUGAGCAUCUGACUUCAGCUCAGGUCAUGAUCUCAUGGUUGGUUUCUAGGUUCAAGCC